RNAcentral lists this ribosomal RNA (207 nucleotides) under uncultured bacterium. RNAcentral describes it as "partial 16S ribosomal RNA". It matches the Rfam family "Bacterial small subunit ribosomal RNA", at positions 568 to 774 of the family's 1533-position model. The record is from RNAcentral.
UGCGUAGGCGGGUCUUUAAGUUCAGGGGUGAAAUCCUGGAGCUCAACUCCAGAACUGCCUUUGAUACUGAAGAUCUUGAGUCCGGGAGAGGUGAGUGGAACUGCGAGUGUAGAGGUGAAAUUCGUAGAUAUUCGCAAGAACACCAGUGGCGAAGGCGGCUCACUGGCCCGGUACUGACGCUGAGGCACGAAAGCGUGGGAGCAAACA